Molecule: non-coding RNA, 72 nt
Organism: Pangasianodon gigas (Mekong giant catfish)
Lineage: Eukaryota; Metazoa; Chordata; Actinopteri; Siluriformes; Pangasiidae
Source: the annotation of a GenBank genome assembly
GCGCUGGUAGCUCAGUGGUUAAGACGUUGGGCUAUUAAGCUGAAGGUUGUGAGUUCAAAUCCCAGCACUGCC